GCCUCGGUGGCUCAGUUGGCAGAGCGGCUGACUCGUAAUCAGCAGGUCGGGGGUUCAAAUCCCCUCCGAGGCU
RNAcentral lists this transfer RNA (73 nucleotides) under Candidatus Methanoliparum thermophilum. RNAcentral's name for it is "tRNA-Thr". It matches the Rfam family "tRNA". Rfam says of the family: Transfer RNA (tRNA) molecules are approximately 80 nucleotides in length. Lineage: Archaea; Methanobacteriati; Methanobacteriota; Candidatus Methanoliparia; Candidatus Methanoliparales; Candidatus Methanoliparaceae. The record is from RNAcentral.